UUAGAGUUUGAUCCUGGCUCAGGAUGAACGCUAGCGGCAGGCUUAAUACAUGCAAGUCGAGGGGCAACAGGGGUAGCAAUACCUGCUGGCGACCGGCAAACGGGUGCGGAACACGUACAGAACCUUCCUUUAAGCGGGGAAUAGCCCGGAGAAAUCCGGAUUAAUACCCCAUAGUAAUAUUUGGUGGCAUCACUUGAAUAUUUAAAGAUUUAUCACUUAAAGAUGGCUGUGCGUCUGAUUAGGUAGUUGGUGCGGGUAACGGCCCACCAAGCCAUCGAUCAGUAACUGGUGUGAGAGCACGACCAGUCACACGGGCACUGAGACACGGGCCCGACUCCUACGGGAGGCAGCGGUAAGGAAUAUUGGUCAAUGGACGCAAGUCUGAACCAGCCAUGCCGCGUGAAGGAUGAAGGCCCUCUGGGUUGUAAACUUCUUUUAUCUGGGAAGAAACCACUUUUUUAUAAAGGUGUUGACGGUACCAGAGGAAUAAGCACCGGCUAACUCCGUGCCAGCAGCCGCGGUAAUACGGAGGGUGCAAGCGUUAUCCGGAUUCACUGGGUUUAAAGGGUGCGUAGGUGGGAAUGUAAGUCAGUGGUGAAAUCUCCGUGCUUAACAUGGAAACUGCCAUUGAUACUAUAUUUCUUGAAUCUUCCGGAGGUCAGCGGAAUAUGUCAUGUAGCGGUGAAAUGCUUAGAUAUGACAUAGAACACCAAUUGCGAACGCAGCUGACUACAGGAGCAUUGACACUGAGCACGAAAGCGUGGGGAUCAA
RNAcentral lists this ribosomal RNA (771 nucleotides) under uncultured bacterium. RNAcentral describes it as "bacterial SSU rRNA". It matches the Rfam family "Bacterial small subunit ribosomal RNA", at positions 1 to 771 of the family's 1533-position model. The record is from RNAcentral.